CGCGUAGGCGGCUUGGCCAGUCACGGGUGAAAGCCCCCGGCUUAACCGGGGAAUUGCCCGUGAUACUACCAAGCUCGAGUACGGGAGAGGGAAGUGGAAUUCCUGGUGUAGCGGUGAAAUGCGUAGAUAUCAGGAGGAACACCGGUGGCGAAGGCGGCUUCCUGGACCGAUACUGACGCUGAGGCGCGAAAGCGUGGGUAGCAAACAGGAUUAGAUACCCUGGUAGUCC
This 229-nucleotide ribosomal RNA is filed under the name uncultured bacterium. Its description in RNAcentral is "partial 16S ribosomal RNA". It matches the Rfam family "Bacterial small subunit ribosomal RNA", at positions 568 to 796 of the family's 1533-position model. The record is from RNAcentral.